ACUCCUACGGGAGGCAGCAGUGAGGAAUAUUGGUCAAUGGAGGCAACUCUGAACCAGCCAUGCCGCGUGCAGGAUGACUGCCCUAUGGGUUGUAAACUACUUUUAUACAGGAAGAAACGUACCCUCGUGAGGGUGCCUGACGGUACUGUAGGAAUAAGCACCGGCUAACUCCGUGCCAGCAGCCGCGGUAAGUACGGAGGGUGCGAGCGUUAUCCGGAUUUAUUGGGUUUAAAGGGUCCGUAGGCGGAUUAAUAAGUCAGUGGUGAAAUCCCAUCGCUUAACGAUGGAACUGCCAUUGAUACUGUUAGUCUUGAAUGAGGUGCAGUGGUUGGAAUGUGUAGUGUAGCGGUGAAAUGCAUAGAUAUUACACAGAACACCGAUUGCGAAGGCAGAUCACUAACCCUAAAUUGACGCUGAGGACGAAAGCGUGGGAGCGAACAGGAUUAGAUACCCCUGGUAGCGACUGA
RNAcentral lists this ribosomal RNA (467 nucleotides) under uncultured bacterium. Its description in RNAcentral is "bacterial SSU rRNA". It matches the Rfam family "Bacterial small subunit ribosomal RNA", at positions 335 to 803 of the family's 1533-position model. The record is from RNAcentral.